This 447-nucleotide ribosomal RNA is filed under the name uncultured bacterium. RNAcentral describes it as "partial 16S ribosomal RNA". It matches the Rfam family "Bacterial small subunit ribosomal RNA", at positions 338 to 795 of the family's 1533-position model. The record is from RNAcentral.
CCUACGGGGGGCAGCAGUCGAGGAUCUUUGGCAAUGGACGCAAGUCUGACCAAGCGACGCCGCGUGGAUGAUGAAGGCCUUCGGGUUGUAAAAUCCUGUCGAGGGGGACGAAGCCGAAAGGUUGACCGAUCCCUGGAGGAAGGGCGGGCUAAGUUCGUGCCAGCAGCCGCGGUAAGACGAACUGCCCAAACGUUGUUCGGAAUCACUGGGCUUAACGGGCGCGUAGGCGGGCAUAAAAGUCGGGGGUGAAAUCCGGCAGCUUAACUGUCGAAGUGCCUUCGAUACUGUAUGUCUUGAGGGAGGUAGGGGUCCGUGGAACUUCUGGUGGAGCGGUGAAAUGCGUGGAUAUCAGAAGGAACGCCGGUGGCGAAAGCGACGGACUGGAUCUUUUCUGACGCUGAGGCGCGAAAGCUAGGGGAGCAAACGGGAUUAGAUACCCCAGUAGUC